AGACCUGGCGGCCAGCUGUUCCGGUAACCUGGUAUAUUGCUGCUCAAUCUACGAUCCUGAUCAACAACUGUGGUAGCAACCUGCUUCGUCGAUGCCCACCCUAUAGGUCGACCUGACUUCUUUAGCAGCGAGGUGAACAUCUCCUGCAGCAUGCUCAUGUCAAGACACAUGUCGCAGCGUCGAGCAACGUACGUGACACAGUGUUCAUGCCACUGGCAAGGCUGCAGCACACUCUGUUGUCCUCGCGCAGCCGGAUGCUCCAUUUUGGAUGUCGGUUGGCCAGGAUGUCCAGCAAGUUCCAGAGCAGCGUGCUCACCGGAAGUU
This 324-nucleotide long non-coding RNA is filed under the name Dermacentor andersoni. Its description in RNAcentral is "uncharacterized LOC126517420". Lineage: Eukaryota; Metazoa; Arthropoda; Arachnida; Ixodida; Ixodidae. The record is from RNAcentral.